RNAcentral lists this ribosomal RNA (871 nucleotides) under uncultured bacterium. Its description in RNAcentral is "bacterial SSU rRNA". It matches the Rfam family "Bacterial small subunit ribosomal RNA", at positions 9 to 873 of the family's 1533-position model. The record is from RNAcentral.
UAGAGUUUGAUCAUGGCUCAGGAUGAACGCUGGCGGCGUGCUUAACACAUGCAAGUCGAACGGGGGAUGUACAGCGGGAAGAUUUCGGUCGGACCAAGUGCAUGCCUAGUGGCGGACGGGUGAGUAACGCGUGGGUAACCUGCCUUACACAGGGGGAUAACACUUAGAAAUAGGUGCUAAUACCGCAUGAGCGCACAGGACCGCAUGGUCGAGUGUGAAAAACUGAGGUGGUGUAAGAUGGACCCGCGUCUGAUUAGCUAGUUGGUGAGGUAACGGCCCACCAAGGCGACGAUCAGUAGCCGGCCUGAGAGGGUGGACGGCCACAUUGGGACUGAGACACGGCCCAAACUCCUACGGGAGGCAGCAGUGGGGAAUAUUGCACAAUGGGGGGAACCCUGAUGCAGCGACGCCGCGUGAGUGAAGAAGUAUUUCGGUAUGUAAAGCUCUGUCAGCAGGGAAGAAGAAAGACGGUACCUGACCAAGAAGCCCCGGCUAACUACGUGCCAGCAGCCGCGGUAAUACGUAGGGGGCAAGCGUUAUCCGGAUUUACUGGGUGUAAAGGGAGCGUAGACGGCAGGGCAAGUCUGGAGUGAAAGGCAGGGGCCCAACCCCUGGACUGCUCUGGAAACUGUCCGGCUGGAGUGCAGGAGAGGUAAGUGGAAUUCCUAGUGUAGCGGUGAAAUGCGUAGAUAUUAGGAGGAACACCAGUGGCGAAGGCGGCUUACUGGACUGUAACUGACGUUGAGGCUCGAAAGCGUGGGGAGCAAACAGGAUUAGAUACCCUGGUAGUCCACGCCGUAAACGAUGAUCACCAGGUGUCGGGGGUUAACAGACCCCCGGUGCCGAAGCCAACGCAUUAAGUGAUCCACCU